This 191-nucleotide small nuclear RNA is filed under the name Meriones unguiculatus (Mongolian gerbil). RNAcentral's name for it is "U2 spliceosomal RNA (ENSMUGG00000024010.1)". It matches the Rfam family "U2 spliceosomal RNA". From Rfam's summary of the family: U2 is a small nuclear RNA (snRNA) component of the spliceosome (involved in pre-mRNA splicing). Lineage: Eukaryota; Metazoa; Chordata; Mammalia; Rodentia; Muridae. The record is from RNAcentral.
AACGCUUCUUGGCCUUUUGGCUAAGAUCAAGUAUAGUAUCUGUUCUUAUCAGUUUAAUAUCUGAUACGUCCUCUAUCCAAGGACAAUAUAUUAAAUGGAUUUUUGGAGCUGGGAGUUGGAAUAGGAGCUUGCUCUGUCCACUCCAUGCAUUGACCUGGUAUUGCUGUACCUCCAGGAGAAAAGAGAGGACA